UGUUGGAUAAGUAAGACUCUACUGUACUAUAACAGGAAAAUGCCUGAAAUCAGACGUAGAAACCUUACACAGACAGAAAGUACAUCUAUGCUGACUAUUUAUUGCAGUUUCAACUUGGUAGUAAAGAAAGUGUUUUUGCUGUGCAGAUGAUUAUAUAGGAAACCAAUUUGAAGCCCAGAUGGUGAUGAUUAACGAAACCACUGAUCAUCUUGGCCUGGUAGGGAGCUACUAAGAUGGGAUCUGGCAAAUUAGGACACCACUGAUAUCACCAAUAUUAAAGAAAAAGUCUUGAAAUGUUAAUAAUAACUGGGUCAUAGACAUGAGUAGAUCAAUAUAUUAAUAUCCGAAAAUAAUUCUUUAGUCAUAACAACGUGUUGGCAAGAAAGUUGUGGAUUUUAGCUAUUAUUAAACAGUCCACGCAGUCAUGCCGGCCACAUGACCUUGGAGGUAUCUACAGACCUCCAAGGUCUUCGGUUUGGAAAUGGAAAUGGGCCCCAACUCCCAGAGUCGGUCACGACUGGACUUAACGUCAGGGGAAAACCUUUAACCUAAACAGUCUUAUUAUGGAUAAAAUUUGUCUGAAAAGAAGGGUCUGUGUUGUGUCAGAACUUUAGAAUCAUAGAAUCAUAGAGUUAGAAGAGACCUCGCGGGCCAUCCAGUCCAACCUCCUGCCAAGAAGCAGGAAAAUCAUAUUCAAAGCACCCCCGACAGAUGGCCAGCUAUAGAGUUGGAUGUUUUGAUACAUCCAACUCUAUAGAAAGAAUCUGCUAGGUUUUUUUUUUUUUUUUACAUUUUCGGUCAGAAAAUUGCCUCACUCUACAGAUCGUAAGACGUAACUGAAUAUACUUUCUUGUCAGCCCUCCAUAUCCAUGGAUUCCACAUUCACAAAUUUUACCACCCACAGCCUGAAAAUCAAUUUUAAAAAUCCAAAGACAAAGCUUAGUUUUGCCAUUAGGACACCUAGACUAAGGUGCAAUUUGUCACAGGAUUUUUACUGAAUUCAGCUCUUUAACACAAUGGGCCAUAGAUUAAUGCCUGCAUUUCACUUUCUGGUGCUCUUGUUCUCCAUGAUCCUCCAUGAUGUGGAGAGAAGGGAUGAAGGGGAUUUUCUGAUCCCUACUCUUUUUCUGUAACACAGUGAAUUUCUGCCUUUAGUAAAGCUCUUUUUCCCCUCUGAAGAACUCUUUACUUUCACACUACUGAAUUGGCCAGCUUGAUUCACACUACUCAAGCUGGCCAAUUGCAACAUUCACACUUGCCUCAGGCAGACGAGAUUUUUCUCCCACCCUGAACAUUCCACAGAUAUAUAAACUCCACUUGCCUAGUUUCCAACACCUCACAACCUCUGAGGAUGCCUGCCAUAGAUGUGGGUGAAACGUCGGGAGAGAAUGCUUCUGGAACAUGGCCAUACAGCCUGGAAAACUCACAACAACCCAGAACUCCUUACCAUUGAAUCUUUGCUGUCCCACUAAAGACAGUGCAGUUUAAUAAGAAUCUGAAUGGAAGGCCCAUCCUUUGAAUGUACAGUAGAGUCUCACUUAUCCAACAUAAACGGGUCGGCAGAAUGUUGGAUAAGCGAAUAUGUUGGAUAAUAAGGAGAGAUGAAGAAAAAGCCUAUUGGACAUCAAAAUAGGUUAUGAUUUUAGAAAUUAAGCACCAAAACAUCAUGUUAUACAACAAAUUUGACAGAAAAAGUAGUUCAUUACACAUUAAUGCUAUGUAGUAAUUACUGUAUUUACAAAUUUAGCACCAAAAUAUCACAAUGCAUUGAAAACAUUGACUACAAAAAUGCGUUGGAUAAUCCAGAACGUUGGAUAAGUGAGACUCUACUGUAUCUCUCUCAAUGUUCUUUCCUGACCUAAAUAUUCAGUGGGUUUUAAUUCAUACAAUCGGAUUUUGUUGUUUUUUCUGCUAUUUGUUUUAUUAUUAUUUUUCAUUCAUAUCCCAGGUUUCUUCCAAUGACACUGAGGCACUACAUGAUUCAAAAUAAACUCAUGGACAGUUUCCAGGAUAUAUUAGCAAGCUAAGAGAAGGCUAUGCAGGUAAAGAAGGUUAUCUCUCAAAUUCAAAAUCACUCUCAGCAGCUACCCAGCAGUAAUUCAUACCGUUCACUUCCUAUGUUAGGGACAUGCCCCCUGCCCCCUUAGUAAUAAUGAUAUCAUGGCCUCCUUACCUGUAUGUAUAGCCUCUGGGGUUUCAAAUUCUUCCUCCAAACUAAGCUCUGUUUUUUCUUCCAUUGCUGUGUCUGGACAAUGCUGGUGGAGUCAAGAAAGCCAAUAAUGAGUACACUGAACAGAUGAACUGCUGAAGCAAAUUAAUGUCUUAAAAACAUGGCUGAGAAAAGAUUUGGGAGAAUUGAGGCUGCUGAAUUUACACAUCCCUGUACUGUCUUCAGAUGAGAGGAUGGUACGACUUCAAGUCCUGGGGGAAUACAGACCUUGAACAGUGAUUAGAAGACUUCCAUAUACUUUGCAAAGCACAUUCUUUCCAUACAAAAUAAUUCCAAGUUCAAUUGGCAUUUCCAGGCAGAAUGGGAAAACUCCACUCUGAAACCUUGGACCGCAGACUGGACUAGAGAAACCAAUGACCGAACUCAAUUUCCUGUGCAAUUCCUAUCUUUAAAGCCUUCCAAGGUAUCUGAAACUGUUAACCGCUACGCUGAGGUUGUUAGGUCCUAAUCAGAAGGGAAAGAUUGGAAUUCUUUUCUGAUCUUUUUAUAACGUUUGAAAGGAAGAAUGCUUUAGUAUUGCAUUAUAGUAAAUAUUUUGUUAGAUUUAUGUCACUGCUAUUACAGGGAGAGCAGCUGCUUUAUUGUGUUCUCCCAAUCUCACUUCAGAGUACAUGUGGCAUAACUGUAUAUCACAAGAGUGAUUCCAAAAAACAAGACAUUAUACAUACAGGCAGUCUGUCGGUUUGUUUUGAAGUUGAAUUUAUAUGUAAGUCGGAAUGGGUACAUUUUAAGUGUAACUCCAUCCAAAUAUGUCACCUCCCCACUCUCUCUCUGAGGCAUAUAUAUAUAUAUAUAUAUAUAUAUAUAUAUAUAUAUAUAUAUAUUGCUAUCUGUGCCCCUGUUCAAAAGAUUUUACCUCACUUUCUGUCCCUUUAAUAAUUGGACUUUUAAAAAAUGUGGCUUGUUGUGGAUACCACGAAUGGCGAUAAAUCAUAGAAUCGUAGAAUCAUAGAAUCAUAGAGUUGGAAGAGACCUCAUGGGCCAUCCAGUUCAACCCCCUGCCAAGAAGCAAGAAAAUCACAUUCAAAGCACCCCCGACAGAUGGCCAUCCAGCCUCUCCUUAAAAGCCUCCAAAGAAGGAGCCUCCACCACACUUCGGAGCAGAGAGUUCCACUGCUGAACAGCUCUCACAGUGAGGAAGUUCUUCCUGAUGUUCAGGUGGAAUCUCCUUUCCUGUUGUUUGAAGUCAUUGUUCUGCAUCCUAGUCUCCAGGGCAGCAGACUAGUACACAGAUAAAGGUUCAGUGGAGAUCCUUUUCUACCAUGAUAACUCUUACAGGAAAUCAGGAGGGGGUGCCAUUUUUGGUUCAAUAAGAUUUGGUCCAUUGGCACCAAUGGCUCAUUUCUCUGUCAUUUCUAGGCCUAUCAGGAUGAAACUUGCCUUACUUGUAGGCCACAAGUCUGCUAAGUUUCAGAAUGUUUCACCAAUCCAUCUAUUUUUGGGAAAUUUUUAAAGUUUUUAUCAUAACAUUUUUUUAAAAACACACACAGAAGAAGGUGUUUGGCGAAUUGAAAUCACCACAAAAUUGGAGGAGAAUGGACACAGUCGACCAGGCUUCUGAUUAGCUGAGAAAGAAAUGUGGGAAACAGAGAGAGAAAAACCUCAACUCCCAUCAUGCCCAGUGAGGUAGCGCAGAGGUUCCUUCAAAGCCCAUGCUGCACAAAGUGCUGCUGGGAAAGCAAGUUCCUGGCGCGACCCUUUCUGGAAUCUUUUUCCUCCUUUUUCUCUCUUUCUCACUCUCUAUUUCCGGCCUUAUUUGCCUCGAGUGAAGAAGAAGAAGAAGAGGAGGAGGAGCUGCCGCCAGACACCCGAUCUUGCCUUGUGAGGCCACCCACAUGCUGUGGCCUCCACCUCAGGUAGAGUGCCAUCACCCCCAUUAGCCGAAAGAUCUGGCUCCUCAUGAUAGCUUUCCCUGCCCACCGCCUGGUUCAUUUUUGGUGGUCCGGAUGCCAGAUCGCUAAAUUUCCCCAAAUUGCCAAACAGAAUCAUGCAAACCCCUAUUUAAUAUCUAUGUAAACCUUCCCACUUUCUAUUUUUAUCAGAAAGCUAUUGCUUGUAAUUUACUAUCACGCCUAUUUCAAACAUACUUGUCCAACAUGUCAUUUUGGAGAAAAAGCACAUGGACACUGUUCCUACGCACUCAUUCAUAUAUAAUUGUGGCAUAUAUGUGUAUUCAAAGCAGCAUGUUGUGUGCAUGUGCCAGAUAAGGCUUACAUAUAUGAAGGAUAAAUAGGGUGACCAUCAUUUGGCCAUGAAUUUAAGGGAGAUUUAGUCAUGGAAAUUUUUGCCUAUUUUUAACAGCGUCAUUCCAGAAAAAAAUCAUUGCUAAAAAGCAAAACUAGUAAUUUUCAUUAUAUAUAAUAUUUGGGUCAGAAUAUAGAAUAAAAAUUAUGAAUUUGCAUGUUUCUUAGUCCUAACCUACAUGUACCUGUCCAGUGAUGCUGCAGAACUUAGCAUUUUUUAAAAACUUUCUGUGCAAAUUUCAAACACUCUUUAUAACACUGUUAUAACAGUAUUAUUCCACUUCAAUUGCUGUGGUAAAAUGUAUGGCAUCCUGACAUCUAGAGUUUGGAAGAGGCCACUUAAAAUUUUUAGCAGGAGAGCUCUUGGGCCUCACUAAAGACAUCAUCCCACUGAACAUGUCAAGUGUUCAUAGAAUCAUGGAAUCAUAGAGUUGGAAGAGACCUCAUGAGCCAUCCAGUCCAACCUCCUGCCAAGAAGCAGCAAAAUGUUUGAAGAGUAGGUUUACCAUACAGCUCAGACAUACUCCAUUUUGAAAUUAAAUGAUUUUCCCAACUCCAUCACACACUUGCAAACUAUCCAUUUUAUUCAGGAGUUCUCAUCACAUUUGCCAUCAAAUUGCAGAGAGUUGGUCCCACCCACUGUCCUUCCCCCAUCUUCUUUGUGAAAAGAAGGACCUCCUCUCCCGGACUCAGCAGUUGAACACUGCAUAAAAUGCCAUGGCUCCAUGUUAUAACAUUCUGGGAAUUGUAGUUUUAUGAGAUAUUUACUCAUGUUGUGACUCUGAUGAGGAUUCUGGGAUGCAGUUUCCAGAUGAUGGGAUUCAGGUUCAGGAUGAGUUUCAAAAUGACUCUGAUGGGAAUUAUGGGAUUCAGGUGCAGAGUGUUCCUGCUGUGUGAGAUGAGGAAGAGGGAGGCUUUCCCAUGUGAAGGAAUGUGGUUGUUAUUGAUGAUGGUUUUCAGAUGCAAGAAGCAGAAAGGGAGAGCAGCUCUCAGCCUCUGUUUGAUAACGCUAACAAGUCCUGUGGCCUUGAAAGCGAAAGCGAUGAGGCCAUGUCUUUAGAUCGGGCUAGUCAUCUGGAAUGUUGGGGGUUGCGUAGAAGUCUCUGAAUAGCAAAUAAGAGGGAGUUCAAAGGGCAAAGAAAUGCCUUUAUGUUAUGCUAUUAAAACAGUCUGUUGAGAGAGAGAAAUUCGUCAAAGCAAUUUCCUCGCUUGAAUCAAGAACCAAGUCUACUUUCCUGUGUUACUUUAGAGUCUGGAUGUAUCCACGUUUCUGGGACUUUGGCUUGUUUUAAGGACCUUGCGUCAUGGAUUUGUUUCUUUCAGCCUUGUUUUUGGAACUAUUUACUGGAACCGAACUUUUGCCUUUUAUGAUCUAUCUUUUCCUUAUUUUCUAAUAAACUACAAAAGACUA
Anolis carolinensis (green anole) is the source of this 5884-nucleotide long non-coding RNA. RefSeq lists it as uncharacterized. The transcript has 3 exons. The record is from RefSeq and is a predicted model, not a curated record. Lineage: Eukaryota; Metazoa; Chordata; Lepidosauria; Squamata; Anolidae.